GGCGAACGAACUGCAGUGAUCCUCUUUUUAAUCAACAGUACACAUAUUACAAUGAUGAAGGACUUAAAAAAUAAAUCCACAUUUUUGUCCAUGAAAUGCAAGCCGGCCCCGACGCACUGCCUGUCCAGCCCUCACAGCAUUGCACCUGUGUGGCCAUGGGAUCGCAGCAAAAACCUGAAAAAGGGAAAAAUGUCAACCGUGAGCAAAAUACACAAAAAAACACCAUCGUCCUGCCCCUAUCUCCGUGGACUGCACGCACAUGGGUGCCGCACUGCAUGCCAGCGCCACGUGAACCACCUCAAAACACAAACAAAAUUCAAAUAGUGGGUUGCACGGCCAUGCGCCGCGGCCAGGCGCACUUCAAGUCUGCAGACGCUCAGACUGCAAGGGGAGGAGGGACAGCUCGCUCUUGGCGAUCUGGAGCGCGAUUGUGAAUCUGUGGCUGGUCAUUAUUUUGUGACCAAAACUGCAUUGAAUUGAUCUGCCAGGACCUCCACUUCAACGAAUAGCAGAUAAAACACAACGCCAAACCUGAAAAAAAACAAAAAAAAGCUUAUGGACUGCGUCGAGAGGACUCUGCACUGCGUCAACAACACACAAAAUUUGACCAUGGAUGAUAGCCUGUUGAGGGAGUGCACAGGGGUGCUGGAGUCACGCUGGACGUCGACGUGUUUCUAGAGGCAACCCAGGAUCUGUGGUAGCUUGCACACGCGGCAGGACCCACCGGAGAAGGUUUGCUGGAGAAGGGGGGGUGACAUAGGGACGACAGUGGGCGGCGCGCUCGGAUGGUGGUGGCUCGGCAUGGCGUCGAUCUUGCCAGAUUUGGGAGGGGCGUCGCCGGGCAGGGGCUGUGGCCGCACCCGGGGCAAGGCGAGGCCAGGGCCAUGGAGUCCGGCGUCGCGGGGUGGGACCGUUGUGCGAUUGGAGGAGUGGCGCGCCGUGGCAGUUGCCUCUCCCGACGGUUUCUCACCUGGGGGAAAUGGGGGCGCUGUGGCCGGCAACUGAGGGGCUGGUCUAGUGCUCACGAGGACACUGGGGGACGAGCAAGAGAGCAUGUCGCCAGCGCCCCAAUCGUGAGAUCCGGCGAGCCCGUGAACGGAGCUCGCGACCCCGAUGCAG
RNAcentral lists this ribosomal RNA (1119 nucleotides) under Triticum aestivum (bread wheat). RNAcentral's name for it is "partial small subunit ribosomal RNA". Lineage: Eukaryota; Viridiplantae; Streptophyta; Magnoliopsida; Poales; Poaceae. The record is from RNAcentral.